This 1236-nucleotide ribosomal RNA is filed under the name Euprosopia sp. E HYH-2016. Its description in RNAcentral is "partial 16S ribosomal RNA". Lineage: Eukaryota; Metazoa; Arthropoda; Insecta; Diptera; Platystomatidae. The record is from RNAcentral.
UCAAUAUGAAUUGAAUAGUAUUUAUUUAUUAAUUUUUUUUUUAAAAAAUUUUAUUUAUUAAAAAUAUUUAUAUAAAUUUAUGUUUUAGUAUUAUAUUAAGAAUCGAUAAUUUUAAUGAUAGUUUAUUUGUACUGUGAAGGGAUAUUGAAAUAAUUUGAAAAAUAUUUGUAAAAAAAGAAAAUUUUAUUUGUUGUACCUUGUGUAUCAGGGUGAAUUUAGUAAUUAAGUUUUAUUAAUUUAAUCUCGAUUUUAUAAGAGUUAUUGGUUUAUAAAAGUUAAUGUAUCAAAAUUAUUUUUAAUAAAUUAGUAGAAAUGAAAUGUUAUUCGUUUAUAAAGGUAUCUAGUUUUUCUAGAAAUAAAUUUAAUUUAUGUAUUUUUAAAUUUUUAUUUUAUUAUAUUAAGUAAAAAAAUUAUUAAUUCAAAUAUCUUAAGGGAUAAGCUUUAAGAUAAAUUGUUAAAAGAAAUUUAUUUUAUUAAUUAAAUGUAUACAUAUAAUUUGUAAUCAUUUAUAAGUUUGUUAUAAAUUAUUUUUUUUUAUAAAUUAUUUAUUUUUCUUUAAUUAUUUAUAGAAAUUUUAUUUUUAACUUUUUAAGAUAAGAAAUAAUGAUUCAAUUAGUAUAAAUUUUGUAUCAAUAAAUUUUAAAGGCAAGUUUAUAUAAAGAACUCGGCAAAUUAUUUAUGCCCGCCUGUUUAACAAAAACAUGUCUUUUUGAGUUAUUUUUAAAGUCUAGCCUGCCCAAUGAUUUUUUAAUGGCCGCAGUAUACUAACUGUGCAAAGGUAGCAUAAUCAUUAGUCUUUUAAUUGAAGGCUGGUAUGAAUGGCUGGACGAGGUAUAAGCUGUUUCAUAUAAAUUUAUUUUAGAAUUUUAUUUUUUAGUUAAAAAGCUAAAAUAUUAUUAAAAGACGAGAAGACCCUAUAAAUCUUUAUAUUUUUAUAUUUAUAAGUUUUAUAGAUAAAGUUUACUUUUAUAUAUAUAAAUAUUUUAUUGGGGUGAUAUUAAAAUUUGACUAACUUUUAAUUUAUAUAAACAUUAAUUUAUGUAUUUUUGAUCCGUUAUUGACGAUUAUAAGAUUAAGUUACUUUAGGGAUAACAGCGUAAUUUUUUUGGAGAGUUCAUAUCGAUAAAAAAGAUUGCGACCUCGAUGUUGGAUUAAGAUAUAAUUUUAGGUGUAGCCGCUUAAAUUUCAAGUCUGUUCGACUUUUAAAUUCUUACAUGAUCUGAGUUCAAACCGGUG